CCUACGGGAGGCAGCAGUGAGGAAUAUUGGUCAAUGUGCGCGAGCCCGAACCAGCCAAGUCGCGUGAGGGAAGACGGUCCUAUGGAUUUUAACCCUCUUUUGUCGGGGCGCAAAAGACGCCACGCGUGGCGUUCCGAGAGUACCCUAAGAAAAAGACUCGGCUAACUCCGUGCCAGCAGCCGCGUUAAUAAGGAGGAUGCGAGCGUUAUCCGGAUUUAGUGGGGUUAAAGGGUGCGCAGGCGGAAGAUCAAGUCAGCGGUAACAUUGAGAGGCUCAACCUCUUCGAGCCGUUGAAACUGGUUUUCUUGAGUGAGCGAGAAGUAUGCGGAAUGCGUGGUGUAGCGGUGAAAUGCAUAGAUAUCACGCAGAACUCCGAUUGCGAAGGCAGCAUACCGGCGCUCAACUGACGCUCAUGCACGAAAGUGUGGGUAUCGAACAGGAUUAGAUACCCGAGUAGUC
RNAcentral lists this ribosomal RNA (459 nucleotides) under uncultured bacterium. RNAcentral describes it as "partial 16S ribosomal RNA". It matches the Rfam family "Bacterial small subunit ribosomal RNA", at positions 338 to 795 of the family's 1533-position model. The record is from RNAcentral.